RNAcentral lists this ribosomal RNA (431 nucleotides) under uncultured bacterium. RNAcentral describes it as "bacterial SSU rRNA". It matches the Rfam family "Bacterial small subunit ribosomal RNA", at positions 328 to 776 of the family's 1533-position model. The record is from RNAcentral.
GCCCCAGACUCCUAGGGGAGGCAGCAGUGGGGAAUAUUGCACAAUGGGGGAAACCCUGAUGCAGCGACGCCGCGUGAGCGAUGAAGCAUUUCGGUAUGUAAAUCUCUAUCAGCAGGGAAGAAAAUGACGGUACCUGACUAAGAAGCCCCGGCUAACUACGUGCCAGCAGCCGCGGUAAUACGUAGGGGGCAAGCGUUAUCCGGAUUUACUGGGUGUAAAGGGAGCGUAGACGGCUGUGCAAGCCAGAUGUGAAAGCCCGGGGCUCAACCCCGGGACUGCAUUUGGAACUGUGUGGCUGGAGUGUCGGAGAGGCAGGCGGAAUUCCUAGUGUAGCGGUGAAAUGCGUAGAUAUUAGGAGGAACACCAGUGGCGAGGGCGGCCUGCUGGGCGAUGGCUGACGUUGAGGCUCGAAAGCGUGGGGAGCAAACAGG